Molecule: long non-coding RNA, 324 nt
Filed under: Homo sapiens (human)
Lineage: Eukaryota; Metazoa; Chordata; Mammalia; Primates; Hominidae
Description: HSALNT0357424
Source: RNAcentral
CUUACAUUGAAGAGAGGAUUCCUUGUUUUGACUACGUGUGUUUCUGCUGUCUUAGGCAGCCAACGUAUUGGUUUACAUGGAUCUGGAGGAUUAUGCACAUUAGUGUUGAGUUUCAUUGCAGGGACAAAAUGGUCCCAAGAAAAGAUGAAAGUCCAAAAGAUUAUUACAAAUGUAUGGGAUAUUUUUCAACCACUUCUUUUUGGUUUAGUUGGAGCAGAAGUAUCUGUUUCAUCGCUUGAAUCAAAUAUUGUUGAAAUACAAAAAUUAGCCAGGUGUGGUAGUGCGUGCCUGUAACCCCAGCUACUCAGGAGGCUGAGGCAGGAG